GCCCAAAAUUAAGCCUAAUUAACCCUUAUGCCACACACCUCACAACAAAUUUAAAUAAAACAUUCUACCAGUUUAGUAAAGGCGAUUAAAAAACUUAUUAGCGCUUUAUUGUAAGUACCGCAAGGGAAAAAUGAAAUAGUUUUGAAAUAGUCUUUAAGCAAUAUACAGCAGAGAUUACUUCUCGUACCUUUUGCAUCAUGGUUUAGCUAGUCCCCAUCAAGCAAAUCGAAACAUCAGUUUGACCCCCCGAAACUAAGCGAGCUACUUUAAAACAGCUCAAUGGAGCCAACCCAUCUCUGUUGCAAAAGAGUGGGAUGAUUUUUAAGUAGAGGUGAAAAGCCUAACGAGCCUAGAGAUAGCUGGUUAUUCAGGAAAAGAAUUUUAGUUCGACCUUAAGUUUUAUUUUUACUUAUAAAAUACACCCAAACUUAAGAGCUAUUCAAAUAAGGCACAGCUUAUUUGAAAAAGGACACAACCUAUAAAAAUGGGUAAAACACCUUAUUGAAACCAAGUGGGCCUGAAAGCAGCCAUCUUUAAGAAAGCGUUAAAGCUCCCCUUCCUUCCCCUCAACAAUUCCCCCAAAUCUAUUAAACCCUUUAUCACUACUGAAUGAUUCUAUAACCUAUAGAAAUCCUGAUACUAAAACUAGUAACAAGAAAUUGCAUUUCUCCAAAAUAUAAGUAUAAGCCUAAAUGGACACGCCACCGGCAGUUAACGUCAAUAAAGCCACUUUAGUAACCUUGCAAGAAAAACCUAAACAUGCAUAAACGUUAACCUUACACAAGUAUAUUUCGGGAAAGAUUAAAAGAAAUGGAAGGAACUCGGCAAAUAUUAACCCCGCCUGUUUACCAAAAACAUCGCCUCUUGAUGAACUAUAAGAGGUCCAGCCUGCCCAGUGACAUAGUUAAACGGCCGCGGUACACUGACCGUGCAAAGGUAGCAUAAUCACUUGUUCUUUAAAUAAGGACUUGUAUCAACGGCAUCACGAGGGUUCUACUGUCUCCCCUUUCUAAUCAGUGAAACUGACUUCCCCGUGAAGAGGCGGGGAUGUGACUACAAGACGAGAAGACCCCAUGGAGCUUUAAACCCACUUACAACCUCAUCUAAAUAUUACCACAUAAAUGAAAGUACUGUACAGUGGUUUUAGGUUGGGGUGACCACGGAGUAAAACCAAACCUCCAUGACGAACGGAUAAAUCAUCCUAAUCCAUGAGCUACCGCUCUAAGAAUCAAAAAAUUGACAUAUAUGAUCCGGUAACCGAUCAACGAACCAAGUUACCCUGGGGAUAACAGCGCAAUCCAUUUCAAGAGCCCCUAUCGACAAAUGGG
This 1328-nucleotide ribosomal RNA is filed under the name Limnonectes cf. kuhlii JF-2021. RNAcentral's name for it is "partial 16S large subunit ribosomal RNA". It matches the Rfam family "Bacterial large subunit ribosomal RNA", at positions 23 to 2516 of the family's 2925-position model. Lineage: Eukaryota; Metazoa; Chordata; Amphibia; Anura; Dicroglossidae. The record is from RNAcentral.